Echinops telfairi (small Madagascar hedgehog) is the source of this 1301-nucleotide long non-coding RNA. RefSeq lists it as uncharacterized. The transcript has 2 exons. The record is from RefSeq and is a predicted model, not a curated record. Lineage: Eukaryota; Metazoa; Chordata; Mammalia; Afrosoricida; Tenrecidae.
GGGACGCCUCAGCCCACAGAUGUAGUGUGGACAGACAGGUCGGCCUGGUGGACAGACCAGAGACGCACAGAGAGACCGCUGGACACGCUUAAGGGCCCACCUGCUUGCUGUGCGGGGCUAAAUCCCAGCUCUCCUUGCCCUGGGCCGCCUGCCUUCUCUCUGCCUGACCCUGGGUAUAAAUAUCUCCCACUUCAUCCUGGAGGAAUUCACCGCGCACUGGCCACCAUGGCAACAGGCCGCCUGCCCCCACCCGGGGGUCACACACCGCUCGCAGGGGCAAGGCCCAGCUGCCACUGCACCACGGCUGCCCCCAUGGAAAAGGCCACCCCUUUCCACGAGAGGGGACAGCAGCCAGCCUCCUUCAUAACCGGACAACAGCAGGCAGUGACAGGAGGCCCGGGCCAGCGGCUGAAGGGCUAGGAGGGAAUGGAACGCCGCUGACCCAUUCUCUCCUCUGGGCCCCCAACGAUGGCACAGCCAGAGCCACACGCGGAGCCAGCGUUCACCCCCGAGGAUGGUCGGGAUGGUUAUCCAGGUAAAUCGUAGAGAACAAAACAGGACACCCUUGAGUGACUAAAAGAAGAGGCGGCUGGCCUUCCUCAUCGCCACGGUUACUCUUCAUCCUCAGCCCUGCUGAGAGCAAGUCUCUCCUUGGUGCUCCUGGCCCUGAGCCUCUUUCAAGGGUCCUGUACAGAAGUUUCUCUGCCCCACUUUACAGAAGAGGAAACCCAGCGCUGAAGGGCCUCGCUGGAGUCACUGGCCCCAAAGCUCCGCCCCAGCUGCCUCUGAUGCCAGGGAACCCACUCCGUCCAAAGCGCACACAGUGCCUGUUGCCCUCGCCGCGCUCCAGAAGGUGGUACCACAAUGCUCCCAUCUGACAGAUGGAAAGACUGAGCACCAGGGAGGUUGAGCCACUUACCUAAGGCCACACAGAGAACCACGCUCGGGACCCACACAAGUGUGAGCCCCUGAGCAAAAGCUGUCAAGACUCCUGCCCUCUGACUACUCUUCUGGGCCUGUUUGCCAGCAGGGAGAGAGCUUGUGAGUGUCCCUGAGUGGCUAAGGUGGGUCCCCAGACACCAGGCUAUAAGAGGGUGCUGCCUUGUGGGCCGGGUGUAGAUCGCACCAGCCUGGCAGCAUGGAAUUCCUUGCUCUUCCUCAGGCCUCUGGCUUCCCAAUCAUAAAGUGGCCGUAGAGUAUACUAACUACUUAGUCCUGGGGUUGUGGGGGGAACCGAGUGAGCAGAUCUGCAAAGGUGUGGGCACAGAGCAAGUGCUCAAUAAAUAAUACUGUUCCUACUU